CCUACGGGUGGCAGCAGUGAGGAAUAUUGGUCAAUGGACGAGAGUCUGAACCAGCCAAGUAGCGUGAAGGAUGACUGCUCUAUGGGUUGUAAACUUCUUUUAUAUGGGAAUAAAAUGGUCCACGUGUGGGAUUUUGUAUGUACCAUAUGAAUAAGGAUCGGCUAACUCCGUGCCAGCAGCCGCGGUAAUACGGAGGAUCCGAGCGUUAUCCGUAUUUAUUGUGUUUAAAGGGAGGGUAGGUGGGUUGUUCAGUCAGUUGUGAAAGUUUGCGGCUCAACCGUGGAAUUGCAGUUGAUACUGGCAGUCUUGAGGACAGUAGAGGUGGGCGGAAUGCGUGGUGUAGCGGUGAAAUGCUUAGAUAUCACGAAGAACUCCGAUUGCGAAGGCAGCUCACUGGACUUCAACUGACGCUGAGGCUCGAAAGUGUGGGUAUCAAACAGGAUUAGAUACCCGGGUAGUC
Molecule: ribosomal RNA, 460 nt
Filed under: uncultured bacterium
Lineage: Bacteria
Description: partial 16S ribosomal RNA
Rfam family: Bacterial small subunit ribosomal RNA
Source: RNAcentral